Anopheles merus is the source of this 876-nucleotide long non-coding RNA. RefSeq lists it as uncharacterized. The transcript has 3 exons. NCBI's taxonomy places the organism in Eukaryota, Metazoa, Arthropoda, Insecta, Diptera, Culicidae. The record is from RefSeq and is a predicted model, not a curated record.
CUGCUCUUGCUGCAACAACACGAACCGAUCCGAGUAAGCCUAGCGGAAGAGCACCCCAACAAAAAAAAAACGGCGAAAAUUAAUAAAAAGGAAGAAGACCGUAAGGGAAAGUACGCUUCCGCGGAAUGACAAUCAAAGUAGGCAGGAAAAAAAUGUGGCACCAGUUGGAAACAGCGACGCUUGCGAAGAAGAAAAAAAUACGAUUAUCCCUACAAGUUAAAGUUAAGAACGGACAAAAAAAAAGUUAAAAAAAACGUGUGGUUGAGAAAAUGAAGGGGAGAUUAAAAGAUUCGCAAUUUGAAGGUACAAUAAGGAAGCGAAAGCACCGAACUGGUCGAGAGUGAGAGAGAGAGAGAGAAAGAGAGAGAGAGAGGAGAGCGCUUGGUGUAACAUUCAUUGUAAUGGGAAAAGUAUGACCAUCCUAUUGGAAUCUAAUCUACCAGGAACAUCCUAUGGGAAUCUCAAUUGUGCACAACUUAGGUUUCCAUUAUGUGUCGACCGAUCGUCGAUCGUGGGUUAAAUAAGCAAAGCAAUAUUCAAAACAAAUUGAACUUAUAGUGUACAUGUAAUCGAAUUCAACAUCUUUGAUCAAAAUUAUGUGAUCCUACUCUAUCUAGGAUUAAUCAGCCAUUUCUCCUUAAGUCCGGAAUUCAGUUCCGGUGAAAUUGAACGUGAAAUUUACGGGUUUUCUGCUAUUUUUCAAUAAAUUUUUAUCUGAAUAGGGCUUAUCGUGCACCAAAAGAAAUAAUAUUUAAUCCCCCAACUAUUCAGACUAUAAAUUAUUAAUAUUUACUAUUACUAUUAAUUAAAUGCAUUUCCUAGUGAUUUCCCGCUUUGUUCACGGUGAAAAAAUUAUACAUAAUAAUAAGGAAAUGC